GGCCUGAUGGUCUAGUAGUAUGAUUCCUUGUUAGGGCGAAUAGCUCGUGUCGAGGAGGUCCCGGGUUCAAUUCCCGGUCAGGCCC
Paramarasmius palmivorus is the source of this 85-nucleotide non-coding RNA. Lineage: Eukaryota; Fungi; Basidiomycota; Agaricomycetes; Agaricales; Marasmiaceae. The record is from the annotation of a GenBank genome assembly.